Molecule: long non-coding RNA, 1383 nt
Filed under: Gossypium barbadense (sea-island cotton)
Lineage: Eukaryota; Viridiplantae; Streptophyta; Magnoliopsida; Malvales; Malvaceae
Description: long non-coding RNA (GBAR_LNC012126)
Source: RNAcentral
CAGGUUUUAUAUUCUUCGCAAACCUUUUCUUUUUUCUGUCUUUUUUUUUCUUUUCAAUACUUCGAAUUUUGGUUUUUUUUUCUUUAUUUGAUGAAUUCUGAACCAUCUUGCUUCGUUGGCUUGAAGACUUUUCAUCAUUUGAAACCUGAAAAAGAGAACGAGAAUGAUUGUAUAGAAAAAGAUUCAUAUCUUUGUAUAAUAUGUGUAGAGAAUAUAGGAUUAGCUGCUAUUGUUGAAUUUACGUACGAUUGUAAAUUAACGGAGGUUGAACAACCAGAUUUUUGUUCAUGUUCAUUUUUAAGAUUGUUCGUGUUAGGUUUGUAUUUGUAAAUAAUUUCAAAAUGUUUUCAUGUUAAUUUAUUUAAAAUUAUGUGUUUAUGUUCUUGAACAAACAUAUUUGUGAAAAUUAAACAAAAUGUUCACGAAGAACAUAUUCAGGAACAAUGUUUAUAAAAUAAUAAACAAACAAUUAAUGAAUAAACACAUACAUAUAUAUAUAUAUUAUAUUUUAGAUAUAAAAUAAUUAAAUGUUUAUAUUUAUAUAAAUAAAAUAAGCACACAAACAAUAAUAAUUUUAUUAAUAUAUAAUAAUCAAACAAUAAACAAGUUUUAAAUGAGCUUUAUAUGAUUUAAUAAACGAGCUUUAAAUGAACAUAAACAAAUUUAUUCAUCAGCAUAAAUCAACCGACCAUACUUUGUUCGUGUUUAGUUCGUUUAAUAAAGGAGCUUCAAAAUUUUGUUAACAUUUGUUUAUUUAGCUUAAUAAACAAACAGAAACUAAACUGCUCGCGAGCUCUCCCCUUGUCCUCAAUGGUUAUGCACUUGUCAUCUAAACUUUAACAAGGUUCAACAGAGCUGUUAAGCAGAAGAAACCAAAUAAAUUAAACUGCUCAUGAACUGUUCUUCGAAUGCUUUGUUUAUGUUUAAGGUUGAUGAUCUUUUAUGUUUAUGUCAUGGAUUAAUUAAUUUUCUGGUUGAUUUUCAGGGUGCAAGUAACGUACCGGAGGAUUUCGUUGCACAACAGUUAAAGUCUGUGCUCUCUGAUAUGCAAGUUGAUGUGGUAAGACAUAGUUAAUAUGUUGAGCUUUAAGUACUUAGUUAUGAGUAACUCAUAGCCAUAAUUGGGGCUUACUACUGUUUCCCAGUUAUGGUCUUUUCAAGUAUUAGGUAUAACUGCAAAAUAAUUCAGCUUAAGCUUUAUCAUCUAUGGUAUUAGGUGAAAACAGGCAUGCUACCUUCUGUUGGCAUAGUCAAGACACUUUGUAGGACGCUCAGGGAAUAUCCUGUCCAUGGUACGCAGUGGAAAUAAAUUUUGAAACUGUGUUUUUUGAGUUGCAAUUUUAGUUGACAUUUCUCUGGUAACCGAAGGCAGCUUUGGUGGUU